GACGAACGCUGGCGGCGUGCUUAACACAUGCAAGUCGAACGGAAAGGCCCUGCUUUUGUGGGGUGCUCGAGUGGCGAACGGGUGAGUAACACGUGAGUAACCUGCCCCUGACUUUGGGAUAACUUCAGGAAACUGGGGCUAAUACCGGAUAGGAGCUCCUGCUGCAUGGUGGGGGUUGGAAAGUUUCGGCGGUUGGGGAUGGACUCGCGGCUUAUCAGCUUGUUGGUGGGGUAGUGGCUUACCAAGGCUUUGACGGGUAGCCGGCCUGAGUGGGUGACCGGCCACAUUGGGACUGAGAUACGGCCCAGACUCCUACGGGAGGCAGCAGUGGGGAAUAUUGCACAAUGGGCGGAAGCCUGAUGAAGCAACGCCGCGUGCGGGAUAACGGCCUUCGGGUUGUAAACCGCUUUCGCCUGUGACGAAGCGUGAGUGACGGUAAUGGGUAAAGAAGCACCGGCUAACUACGUG
This 468-nucleotide ribosomal RNA is filed under the name uncultured bacterium. RNAcentral's name for it is "partial 16S ribosomal RNA". It matches the Rfam family "Bacterial small subunit ribosomal RNA", at positions 28 to 507 of the family's 1533-position model. The record is from RNAcentral.